AAGUCGUAACAAGGUUUCCGUAGGUGAACCUGCGGAAGGAUCAUUAACACGUAUCCACGUAUCAACCCACCGCGAAUUCGUUUUCAACGUCUCCCUGAGCGCUCGAUGAAUUGGAUCAACGAUGAGAAUAGAGUGGGGCUCUGUAUAGUUGUAUAUGGAGCUCGUCUCAUCAUUGCCUGAUGUAUCUUCGGAUGCAACGCCAAUUGUACGAGUGACCUCAGGCAAUUUCCUCUCUACUCAGGCGACACUCUCGCUUCGAGUUGAUUGGAUGAAUAUACAAACAUUUCUUAACGAAUUUCACCUUGAAUUUUGCUAGUUGACUUGAUUCUAUGUGGAUGCGCCUAGCGUAUUCUCACGUUUGAUUUUAAUUGAACGAUCAGCACAACUCUUAGCAAUGGAUAUCUAGGUUCUC
RNAcentral lists this unclassified non-coding RNA (412 nucleotides) under fungal sp. Its description in RNAcentral is "partial internal transcribed spacer region". The stretch from base 1 to 46 matches the Rfam family "Eukaryotic small subunit ribosomal RNA", at positions 1786 to 1831 of the family's 1831-position model. The record is from RNAcentral. Lineage: Eukaryota; Fungi.